CCUACGGGAGGCAGCAGUGAGGAAUAUUGGUCAAUGGGCGGAAGCCUGAACCAGCCAAGUCGCGUGAGGGAUGAAGGUCCUGCGGGUCGUAAACCUCUUUUGCCGGGGAGCAGAGGCCCGGACGUGUCCGGGCCGGGAGAGUACCCGCAGAAAAAGCAUCGGCUAACUCCGUGCCAGCAGCCGCGGUAAUACGGGGGAUGCGAGCGUUAUCCGGAUUUAUUGGGUUAAAAGGGUGCGUAGGCGGGCUGUUAAGCCGGCGGUAAAAUGUCGGGGCUCAACCCCGGCCGGCCGUCGAAACUGGGUGCCUUGAGUGGGCGAGAAGUAUGCGGAAUGCGUGGUGUAGCGGUGAAAUGCAUAGAUAUCACGCAGAACCCCGAUUGCGAAGGCAGCAUACCGGCGCCCUACUGACGCUGAGGCACGAAAGUGUGGGUAUCGAACAGGAUUAGAUACCCGAGUAGUC
This 460-nucleotide ribosomal RNA is filed under the name uncultured bacterium. RNAcentral's name for it is "partial 16S ribosomal RNA". It matches the Rfam family "Bacterial small subunit ribosomal RNA", at positions 338 to 795 of the family's 1533-position model. The record is from RNAcentral.